RNAcentral lists this ribosomal RNA (503 nucleotides) under uncultured bacterium. RNAcentral's name for it is "partial 16S ribosomal RNA". It matches the Rfam family "Bacterial small subunit ribosomal RNA", at positions 30 to 523 of the family's 1533-position model. The record is from RNAcentral.
AUUGAACGCUGGCGGCAGGCUUAACACAUGCAAGUCGAGCGGGGUGAUGGUGCUUGCACUAUCACUUAGCGGCGGACGGGUGAGUAAUGCUUAGGAAUCUGCCUAUUAGUGGGGGACAACAUCUCGAAAGGGAUGCUAAUACCGCAUACGUACUACGUGAGAAAGCAGGGGAUCACUUGUGACCUUGCGCUAAUAGAUGAGCCUAAGUCGGAUUAGCGAGAUGGUGGGGUAAAGGCCUACCAAGGCGACGAUCUGUAGCGGGUCUGAGAGGAUGAUCCGCCACACUGGGACUGAGACGCGGCCCAGACUCCUACGGGAGGCAGCAGUGGGGAAUAUUGGACAAUGGGGGGAACCCUGAUCCAGCCAUGCCGCGUGUGUGAAGAAGGCCUUAUGGUUGUAAAGCACUUUAAGCGAGGAGGAGGCUCUUUUGGUUAAUACCCAAGAUGAGUGGACGUUACUCGCAGAAUAAGCACCGGCUAACUCUGUGCCAGCCGCCGCCGUAA